This 509-nucleotide ribosomal RNA is filed under the name uncultured bacterium. RNAcentral describes it as "bacterial SSU rRNA". It matches the Rfam family "Bacterial small subunit ribosomal RNA", at positions 8 to 526 of the family's 1533-position model. The record is from RNAcentral.
AGAGUUUGAUCCUGGCUCAGGACGAACGCUGGCGGCGUGCUUAACACAUGCAAGUCGAACGGUGAUCUUGAGAGCUUGCUCUUGGGUGAUCAGUGGCGAACGGGUGAGUAACACGUGAGCAACCUGCCCCAGACUCUGGAAUAACCCCGGGAAACCGGAGCUAAUACCGGAUACGACACUGGCCCGCAUGGGUAUGGUGUGGAAAGUUUUUCGGUCUGGGAUGGGCUCGCGGCCUAUCAGCUUGUUGGUGAGGUAGUGGCUCACCAAGGCGACGACGGGUAGCCGGCCUGAGAGGGCGACCGGCCACACUGGGACUGAGACACGGCCCAGACUCCUACGGGAGGCAGCAGUGGGGAAUAUUGCACAAUGGGCGCAAGCCUGAUGCAGCGACGCCGCGUGAGGGAUGACGGCCUUCGGGUUGUAAACCUCUUUCAGCAGGGAAGAAGCGCAAGUGACGGUACCUGCAGAAGAAGCACCGGCUAACUACGUGCCAGCCGCCGCGGUAAUAC